ACGGGUGAGGAACAUGUACGCAACCUUCCUUUAACUGGAGGAUAGCCCCUCGAAAGAGGGAUUAAUACUCCGUAAGAUAAUGAGAUGGCAUCAUUUUAUUAUUAUAGCUCCGGCGGUUAAAGAUGGGCGUGCAACUGAUUAGAUAGUUGGCGGGGUAACGGCCCACCAAGUCAGCGAUCAGUAACUGGUGUGAGAGCACGACCAGUCACACGGGCACUGAGACACGGGCCCGACUCCUACGGGAGGCAGCAGUAAGGAAUAUUGGUCAAUGGACGCAAGUCUGAACCAGCCAUGCCGCGUGGAGGAUUAAGGCCCUCUGGGUUGUAAACUCCUUUUAUCUGGGAAGAAAUGUUUUGAUUCUUCGGAACUUGACGGUACCAGAGGAAUAAGCACCGGCUAACUCCGUGCCAGCAGCCGCGGUAAUACGGAGGGUGCAAGCGUUAUCCGGAUUCACUGGGUUUAAAGGGUGCGUAGGCGGGCAGGUAAGUCAGUGGUGAAAUCUCCGAGCUUAACUCGGAAACUGCCGUUGAUACUAUUUGUCUUGAAUAUUGUGGAGGUAAGCGGAAUAUGUCAUGUAGCGG
RNAcentral lists this ribosomal RNA (581 nucleotides) under uncultured Chitinophagaceae bacterium. RNAcentral describes it as "bacterial SSU rRNA". It matches the Rfam family "Bacterial small subunit ribosomal RNA", at positions 102 to 681 of the family's 1533-position model. Lineage: Bacteria; Pseudomonadati; Bacteroidota; Chitinophagia; Chitinophagales; Chitinophagaceae. The record is from RNAcentral.